CCUACGGGUGGCAGCAGUGAGGAAUAUUGGUCAAUGGGCUUACGCCUGAACCAGCCAAGUCGCGUGAGGGAAGACUGCCCUAUGGGUUGUAAACCUCUUUUGUCAGGGAGCAACGCCGGCUACGUGUAGCCGGACGGAGAGUACCUGAAGAAAAAGCAUCGGCGAACUCCGUGCCAGCAGUCGCGGUAAUACGGAGGAUGCGAGCGUUAUCCGGAGUUAUUGGGUUUAAAGGGUGCGUAGGCGGAAUGCCAAGUCAGCGGUAAAAUCGCGGGGCUCAACCUCGCUCCGCGGUUGAAACUGGCGUUCUUGAGUGGGCGAGAAGUAUGCGGAAUGCGUGGUGUAGCGGUGAAAUGCAUAGAUAUCACGCAGAACUCCGAUUGCGAAGGCAGCAUACCGGCGCCCAACUGACGCUGAAGCACGAAAGCGUGGGUAUCGAACAGGAUUAGAUACCCGUGUAGUC
RNAcentral lists this ribosomal RNA (460 nucleotides) under uncultured bacterium. RNAcentral describes it as "partial 16S ribosomal RNA". It matches the Rfam family "Bacterial small subunit ribosomal RNA", at positions 338 to 795 of the family's 1533-position model. The record is from RNAcentral.